RNAcentral lists this small nuclear RNA (320 nucleotides) under Felis catus (domestic cat). RNAcentral describes it as "7SK RNA". It matches the Rfam family "7SK RNA". From Rfam's summary of the family: 7SK was discovered as an abundant small nuclear RNA in the mid-70s but a possible function has only recently been suggested. Two independent studies have found that 7SK RNA binds the CDK9/cyclin T complex (known as elongation factor P-TEFb). P-TEFb activates transcription by phosphorylating the C-terminal domain of RNA polymerase II. Lineage: Eukaryota; Metazoa; Chordata; Mammalia; Carnivora; Felidae. The record is from Rfam by way of RNAcentral.
GGAUGAGAGGGUGAUCUGGCUAUGACAUUUGUCACCCAUUGAUCACCAAGGUUGAUUUGGCUGGUCUGGCUGGCUGGGCAGGUGUCCCCUUCCCCCCUCAGCUCUCCACACGUGUCCCUCCCGAAGCUGCACACUUAGUAGAAGCGGACGACCUUCCCUAAUAGAGGAGGACGGUCAAAGGCAUACAAGUGGCUGUGUUCACCUCCUAGGACCUCCCAACAAGCUCUCAAAGUCCAUUUGUGGGAGAGUGUAGGGCAGUCAAGCUUCCAAGACUCAACACGUUCAAGUGAGGCGCUGCAUGCGGCGGUCUGCCUUUCUGU